CAACGUAGCGUAGCCAAUCAGACACCGUCAAGGUGUACGUGCCGUUUCUCUCUCUCUCUAUGCCGGACCGUUGUCGAGGUGGCGGCAUGCAAACUUUCUCUUGAAGGAAAUUAUUGUUGCGAGAGCCAGAUAUAUCCCAACGUUUGAAUAAUUAUCGGAGGCGCAGAGAACAAAGUUUUUUUGUUGUUGCUUUGGUUGAUUAGUGGACCUUGUUUGUGACGGAAACGAAGGAGAACCGGAACCUGGACUGAUGAGAGCAGUGUAUUCUGCCUUGUACCGGAGUGUGUGUGUAUAUGUGAUGUUUGAGCCUCUGGCCGGGUCUUUUUGCUUGUAUGGAUUCCUGGUGAGAUCUGCAUGAAGAUUCUUCUCCCGCUGGGAUUUCUCCCAUCUCUGUAGAGGUAGUGGGGAACCUCAGUGGUAGUGGCGAGCUACCCAAACGAAGGACUGUUAUUUUGUUACCAAUAUUCAGAUUUUCCCAGUGGCUGGAUAUAUUGAGAAACUGGUUGAUAUCUCAUGUUUUUUAUUUAUUUAUUUAUUUUUAUUUUACUUCUUUAAAUCUACACAAUAUAGCUUUCUAAAACGUACUUGUUGAUUGUGUGAGUCCUUUACUCUGUCACUCAAUGCAUAUUGCCAAUACCCCUUUCUCCUAUAGCGAACUAGACUUCUGAUUUUCUGGCCCACAAGUGAAUUAAUGCACUGAUAAUUACAUCUGUAUCUCCCAGUCUUUACCA
Gadus chalcogrammus (walleye pollock) is the source of this 731-nucleotide long non-coding RNA. RefSeq lists it as uncharacterized. Lineage: Eukaryota; Metazoa; Chordata; Actinopteri; Gadiformes; Gadidae. The transcript is spliced from 3 exons. The record is from RefSeq and is a predicted model, not a curated record.